GCCUGACAUCAAGUUAGCUACCCUAAGCUAACACUCCACCUUCUCGCCCAAACAUGGUCACUUCUGUUUCCAAAAACCAGCACGGUUAAAGCCGAAAGACUGAUGCUGACGAUUAAAACCAGUCAGAAACCAGUGGGUGAUGUCACAGUGGAAACAUCCAUCUUUUAUAUACAGUCUGUGGUUUUCCUCCAGAAAAGGUUAAAAACAAACACAGUUUGCUCAGUGUUUGCUCAUUUUCUACUUUAGCUUAAACUUUCUGUAAUUGCUGCUGUUUGUCUUCAACAACUCAUAACUUUUAUAUUUACCUGAUUUUUUUUCUGUUCUCGUCUCUGCACCUGAAGUGGAAAAUCAUCACCGGCAGGUCUCAGCAGGAAGAGAAGAGGAGCUUCAGGAGGUUUAUUCAGAGGCCAUUUCUAUAUCCUGCGACUUGUAAUCUCCAAUGAACAUCCACGACUGAGCGAGGAACAGCAGAAAAAGUCAGACUUGCCAAACAACCUGAAUUUUGAAAGUCACACCUCGACGUUCGUCCAGACUUGGAAACAUCACGAAGCUGUUCUGUUGCUCAGCAACGUGGAGCUUUUAAUUCAGACAUUGUCUCCAGCCUCCGUCAUUGUCGCUCACGCUUCACCUGGUCCAGCUCCACCGCUCAAACUACCCAACACUCGCACGCCGCUCCUGUUCUUGCUCCCCAUCGCCUGCUUUCAGCUAACCUACUGUUACUCGCCUCGCAGCUGAUGCCUCGCAGCUGAUGCCUCGCAGCUGAUGCCUCGCAGCUGAUGCCUCGCAGCUGAUGCCUCGCAGCUGAUGCCUCGCAGCUGAUGCCUCGCAGCUGAUGCCUCGCAGCUGAUGCCUCGCAGCUGAUGCCUCGCAGCUGAUGCCUCGCAGCUGAUGCCUCGCAGCUGAUGCCUCGCAGCUGAACCCUGUUAGAUGUGGCAGAUUCGUGUCUCCUCCCGGGAUCGAGCGGGG
Astatotilapia calliptera (eastern happy) is the source of this 966-nucleotide long non-coding RNA. Lineage: Eukaryota; Metazoa; Chordata; Actinopteri; Cichliformes; Cichlidae. The record is from Ensembl.